UUGACCUCGGAUCAGGUAGGGAUACCCGCUGAACUUAAGCAUAUCAAUAAGCGGAGGAAAAGAAACUAUCAAGGAUACCCGCUGGACUUAAGCAUAUCAAUAAGCGGAGGAAAAGAAACCAACAGGGAUUGCCUCAGUAACGGCGAGUGAAGCGGCAACAGCUCAAAUUUGAAAUCUGCCUCUAGGCCGAGUUGUAAUUUGUAGAAGAUGCUUUGGGUGUGGUACCGGUCUAAGUUCCUUGGAACAGGACGUCAUAGAGGGUGAGAAUCCCGUACGUGACUGGCUACCUUCGCCCGUGUAAAGCUCUUUCAACGAGUCGAGUUGUUUGGGAAUGCAGCUCAAAAUGGGUGGUAUAUUUCAUCUAAAGCUAAAUAUUGGCCAGAGACCGAUAGCGCACAAGUAGAGUGAUCGAAAGAUGAAAAGCACUUUGGAAAGAGAGUUAAACAGUACGUGAAAUUGUUGAAAGGGAAGCGCUUGCAACCAGACUUGCACGCUGUCGAUCAUCCGGGGUUUUCCCCGGUGCACUCGGCGGUGUUCAGGCCAGCAUCGGUUUCGGUGGUUGGAUAAAGGCCUUGGGAAUGUAGCUCUUUCGGGAGUGUUAUAGCCCUCGGUGCAAUGCAGCCUACUGGGACCGAGGACCGCGCUUCGGCUAGGAUGCUGGCGUAAUGGUUGUAAGCGACCCGUCUUGAAACACGGACCA
Molecule: ribosomal RNA, 700 nt
Filed under: uncultured fungus
Lineage: Eukaryota; Fungi
Description: eukaryotic LSU rRNA
Rfam family: Eukaryotic large subunit ribosomal RNA
Source: RNAcentral